GGACUCUGCCUGUCUCUUCAGCCACGCUGGCCCUUCUUUUGCCCUUGUCCUGCUGGAACCCGUCAUCUGACCCUCUCAGAUCAGCACAAACUCUUGUCCCCCUGCCACGGUCCUUCCCCCCCAAUAAACGACUUGCCUGGAGUCAUUGUCUUGCUGCUGCUACUGGUGACCUCACCUGGGACCAUGGUGACAGCCCGGUGGCAUCUGAUUUCCUGCAGAAGCCAAGUGCCCUGAGCAUGAAGAGCCUGGUCUCCAAGCUGUACCCCUCGGUCCUGGAGCCAAGCACUUCGAGCCUGGCUGGGGAGGCUGGUGGCCCAGCCCUGAGUGCUCGGGUCCUCCAGGAGAUGGCCAAGGGCACCAAGAGCAUCACCCUCAUCACAGCCACUCAGCACUCCAAGGCGCACGACUGGGAGGGCAGCAGUGGCCGCUCCUCCUGCCACCUCCUAGAGGAAAUGGCCCUGGACUGCAGGGACCUGAAGUCAAGCACCACCCCAGACCCCAGCCUGGCAGACAGAAGGUGGCCCCACGCUGGCCGGUGCAGGGACCGCUCCGUGGAGAGGAAGGCCAAGAAGAAGCGGUCACCCUCCCUCCCUGGGACCGUGCAGCCGGCGAGGGAGAAGCUGCCAUCCCCCUGCAGGGAGUGUUUGGCGGAGAGUCAGCCACCCCCAGCACUCCUUCGGCCGUCAAAGUCAUCAGGAAAGAGCUUAUUCCCUGCUAUCCCUGUGGCCUCCAAGAUAAAACCCGGCCUCAGUUUCUGUGCAGGUUAUUGGCACUCCGAUCUGUCCCUGUGGUGAAAGCAGAUUUAUGGGUGUCAGUGCUCCUUGAAGGGUGUCCACCAGCUGUUCCCAGCCUGCACCAAGGGAAGCACAGAAGUUGAGAAGACCUAUACGGCAAUUCGAUGGUGCCACAAUUGGUGAUCAACGGCCUAGAUCCUGCAUUUUUAUUUUAUUUUAUUUUAUUAUUAUUAUUUUUGAGAUGGAGUUUCACUCUUGUUGUCCAGGCUGGAGUGCAAUGGUGUGAUCUUGGCUCACUGCAAUCUCCACCUCCUGGGUGCAAGCAAUUCUCCUGCCUCAGCCUCCUGAGUAGCUGGGACUAUAGUCACACUCCACCAAGCCUGGAUAAUUUUUGUAUUUUUAAUAGAGAUGGGGUUUCACCAUGUGGGCCAGGCUGGUCUCGAACUUCUGGCCUCAAGCGAUCUGCCCUCCUUGGCCUCCCGAAGUGCUGAGAUUACAGGAGUGAGCCACUGCUCCUGGCCCCUCUUCUGUUUGAGGGUGAUGUCUGCUUAAACUUUGUUCAGUAAACCCAGAAAAUCAUCUUUAUUGCCAUGUAACAACCAGCUGAAAGAAGAAAGAAGGAAAGGAAGGGCAUAGCUGCUGCUGGAGAAGGGACAAAGACCCAAGAGCUGAGCGUAGGGUAGUGUCAGAGGCAUCUUAACCAGAGUGACGCCAUCUUUAAUAAAGGCCCGACAAAGCCAAACCUGCCGGUGACAUUCCCAGGGUGUUGGGCCCUUUCGGUCAUAAGAUGUUUAUGGUCAAGGAACAAGUUAAUGAUGUUAACUAGGCCAGGCGCAGUGACUCGCGCAUGUAAUCCCAGCCCUUUGGGAGUCCAAGGCGGACGGAUCACGAGGUCAGGAUAUUGAGACCAUCCUGGCUAACACGGUGAAACCCCGUCUCUACUAAAAAUACAAAAAAUUAGCUGGGCGUGGUGGCAGGUGCCUGUAGUCCCAGCUACUCGGGAGGCUGAGGCAGGAGAAUGGCGUGAACCUGGGAGGCGGAGUUGCAGUGAGCCAAGAUUACAUCACUGCACUCCAGCCUGGGCGACAGAGCCAGACUCCGUCUCAAAAAAAAAAAAAAAAAUAGCCAGGCGUGGCAGUGGGCACCUGUAGUCCCAGCUACUUGGGAGGCUGAGGCAGGAGAAUGGCAUGAACCCGGGAGGCAGAGCUUGCAGUGAGCCGAGAUCGCACCACUGCACUCCAGCCUGGGUAACUCCGUCUCAAAAAAAAAAAAAAAAAAAAAAAAAUGAUGUUAACAAAUGUAAUAAAGAUCCAGAACUCAUGGAAAUGACCCAGUGCUUUAAGAACAAAAAUCAUGUUUAGUUUAAGAAUAGGUUUUGCUUUAAAAAUAAUAAGACACUCUUAAAUUCUUGCUGAAAUCAACAGUAAUGUAGGGAAGUAACAAUACUAAUAGCCAGUCACAAACUGAUCACAAGCCUUUGAAAUAAAGUAUAUUAUUCCUUAUUUUUAUUUUUAAUGAUUUUUUUGAGACAGGGUCUUGCUCUGUCGCCCAGGCUGGAGUGCAGUGGUGCGGUCAUGGCUCACUGCUGUCUUGCCUUCCCUAGCUUAAGGGAUCUUUUCACCUCAGCCUCCCCAGUAGCUGGGGUGUGUGACACCACACCAGGCUAAUUUUGAUAUUGCAGAGAUGGGAUUUUGCUGUGUUGCCCAGGCUGGUCUUGAACUCCUAGGCUAACGCAAUCCUCCUGCCUCAGCCUCCCAAAGUGCUGGGAUUACAGGCAUUAAGCGACUGCACCUGGCCCCACCACCUGCUUUCUGAGGAUGCUGUACUCUGUAAUAGAGUUGUCUCUAACAACCUUUUUUUUUUUUUUUUUUGAGAUGGAGUCUCACUUUGUCACCCAGGCUAGAGUGCAGUGGCACGAUCUCAGCUCACUGCAACCUGUGCUUACCAGGUUCAGGUGAUUCUCCUGCCUCAGCCUCUCAAGUAGCUGGGAUUACAGGGGUGUGGUACCACACCCAGCUAAUUUUUGCAUUUUUUAGUACAGAUGGGGUUUCACCAUUUUGGCCAGGCUGGUCUUGAACUCCUGACUUCAGGUGAUCCGCCUACCUCGGUUUCCCAGAGUGCUGGGAUUAUGGACUUGAGCCACUGCACCCAGCCAUAAACUAUCUUAACUUCAGUAUCCUCUGUGAUUCGCCCUGAAUUCUUUCCUGGACAAGAUCCAAGAACCUGCUCUUGGGGUCUGGGACAAGACCCCUUUUCUGGGGACAGUAGAGGUUCCAGAAAGGACAAAGGACAGGAGCUCACAUAAAAAAUAAUCCCCUCCCAGGUCUGUGGGGAACACACAUGAAGUAGCUUAAGUAAAAGAGCCUAGCUUUUGGUAGGUGCUCAAUCUGUUGUAGGUAUUAUCCAUUAUUUAGUUUUAUUCCCAUGAUUCACUGGGUGGUCCCUAAAAAUCAUCACCUUCUCUUGCCUCCGGUCUCACUG
Macaca mulatta (Rhesus monkey) is the source of this 3215-nucleotide long non-coding RNA. Lineage: Eukaryota; Metazoa; Chordata; Mammalia; Primates; Cercopithecidae. The record is from Ensembl.